This 23-nucleotide ribosomal RNA is filed under the name Alternaria sesami. RNAcentral describes it as "partial 28S ribosomal RNA". The record is from RNAcentral. Lineage: Eukaryota; Fungi; Ascomycota; Dothideomycetes; Pleosporales; Pleosporaceae.
ACUUUUGACCUCGGAUCAGGUAG